Molecule: long non-coding RNA, 1196 nt
Filed under: Gossypium barbadense (sea-island cotton)
Lineage: Eukaryota; Viridiplantae; Streptophyta; Magnoliopsida; Malvales; Malvaceae
Description: long non-coding RNA (GBAR_LNC013287)
Source: RNAcentral
GGUUUUCAAGUUUUUAUUUACAAGCAGUUGGGGAAACUCAUUACAAUUUUCUAAUAUACAUGCUCUUUCUCUUUUAUACGUACCAUGUAAGCAUUUAUAAUUUAUAAAAUAUGUUUAGGGAAAGCUUCUUGGUUAAUAUUGAAAGUCGUAUGCAUAACUUAAACCCAAAAAUCAAAAUAUUAAUUCUCAAUACUUACUUAACUUAUUAAUUUAAUUACUUUAUAAUAUUAUUAUAAAUAUAUUAAAAAAACGAAGAAUUGCGUCAAGCAAUCCCCUAAUUUUGUUAGUUGCCUAAGGGUGAGUUUAGAUGAGCGAUUGAGUGCGGUGCAGUGCGGCGCGUUUAGUUUAUUUUUUGUCUCACACUACGAUAUCGCUUCAGUAUCUAAUCUCAUUGUCACCGCGGUUUUUACACUAACCGCAAGUAAACACACCACCCAUCCAAACCCACCCUAAGACUUGAUUUUUAGUUUUUCUUUUUAAUUCCAUUAACAAAUAUACUUGUAAUACCCAAUUUUGCCCAGCCCAUAUACAAAUAAUAAAACCAAAAAACAAAUUUAAACCAAAACCAAAAUAAAUAAAACAGGCCCAAAUUACCAAGCCCAAUAACCUAAAAAACUAACCCUAGCCCAACACAAAAUUAAAUCAAGAAAAACCUAAGCAGAAAAACUAGCAGCAGCCACCCUCGUCGCCGGCCCUUGCGCGCCUUCCUCGCACGUGCUCCCACGAUCACCUGCAAAACGGAUUCAAAGAGUCCAAACAAAGUAAAACAACGGGAAAAAGGGAAAUAAGUUGUUCUCGGGCUAUAAAACGGCCAAUAUUGUAUAUAAAAGAGGGGGAGACCAAGGUUGUAUUGAGAGAAGAUUGGAAAUACAAAGGAAAGGAAAAACGGAUUCAAAAUUUUUGAAUAACAGAGGUUUUUGUUAUUCUUUAGUUUGUUUUGUGGAUGUUUGAUUUAUUUAUUUAUACAUUUAGUUUUCAUUUUUAUUUUUUUAUUUUUAACAAUAAUAUAAAAGAGGAGAGGGGUAAUACCUUCGAGGAUUCGCCGUCAAAACUGCGUUCGCCUCGCUCAAAUCGGAGCUUGACGGAGCCCCGAGAAUUGACUUGUCGGAGAACGGCGGCGUUGAGAGCUGGGGCUGAAAAAACUUAGCAGAGGCUUUUUAUUUUUAUUUUUUAUUUUUUUUCUUCUUCCUUCUUAC